RNAcentral lists this transfer RNA (69 nucleotides) under Ictidomys tridecemlineatus (thirteen-lined ground squirrel). RNAcentral describes it as "Spermophilus tridecemlineatus (thirteen-lined ground squirrel) tRNA". It matches the Rfam family "tRNA". Rfam says of the family: Transfer RNA (tRNA) molecules are approximately 80 nucleotides in length. Their secondary structure includes four short double-helical elements and three loops (D, anti-codon, and T loops). Further hydrogen bonds mediate the characteristic L-shaped molecular structure. tRNAs have two regions of fundamental functional importance: the anti-codon, which is responsible for specific mRNA codon recognition, and the 3' end, to which the tRNAs corresponding amino acid is attached (by aminoacyl-tRNA synthetases). tRNAs cope with the degeneracy of the genetic code in two manners: having more than one tRNA (with a specific anti-codon) for a particular amino acid; and 'wobble' base-pairing, i.e. permitting non-standard base-pairing at the 3rd anti-codon position. Lineage: Eukaryota; Metazoa; Chordata; Mammalia; Rodentia; Sciuridae. The record is from Rfam by way of RNAcentral.
GGGGUUGUGGCUCAGUGGUAGAGCACUUGCCUAGCAUGUGCAAGACCCUGGGUUCAAUCCUCAACACCA